CAGUCGCCGCGGGAAUACGAAGGGUGCGAGCGUUAAUCGGAUUUACUGGGCGUAAAGCGUGCGUAGGCGGCUUUUAAGUCGGAUGUGAAAUCCCUGAGCUUAACUUAGGAAUUGCAUUCGAUACUGGGAAGCUAGAGUAUGGGAGAGGAUGGUAGAAUUCCAGGUGUAGCGGUGAAAUGCGUAGAGAUCUGGAGGAAUACCGAUGGCGAAGGCAGCCAUCUGGCCUAAUACUGACGCUGAGGUACGAAAGCAUGGGGAGCAAACAGGAUUAGAUACCCCAGUAGUCCCUGUCUCUUAUACA
RNAcentral lists this ribosomal RNA (301 nucleotides) under uncultured bacterium. RNAcentral's name for it is "partial 16S ribosomal RNA". It matches the Rfam family "Bacterial small subunit ribosomal RNA", at positions 509 to 808 of the family's 1533-position model. The record is from RNAcentral.